RNAcentral lists this ribosomal RNA (433 nucleotides) under Pseudomonas sp. F373. Its description in RNAcentral is "bacterial SSU rRNA". It matches the Rfam family "Bacterial small subunit ribosomal RNA", at positions 117 to 546 of the family's 1533-position model. The record is from RNAcentral. Lineage: Bacteria; Pseudomonadati; Pseudomonadota; Gammaproteobacteria; Pseudomonadales; Pseudomonadaceae.
CUAGGAAUCUGCCUGGUAGUGGGGGAUAACGCUCGGAAACGGACGCUAAUACCGCAUACGUCCUACGGGAGAAAGCAGGGGACCUUCGGGCCUUGCGCUAUCAGAUGAGCCUAGGUCGGAUUAGCUAGUUGGUGAGGUAAUGGCUCACCAAGGCGACGAUCCGUAACUGGUCUGAGAGGAUGAUCAGUCACACUGGAACUGAGACACGGUCCAGACUCCUACGGGAGGCAGCAGUGGGGAAUAUUGGACAAUGGGCGAAAGCCUGAUCCAGCCAUGCCGCGUGUGUGAAGAAGGUCUUCGGAUUGUAAAGCACUUUAAGUUGGGAGGAAGGGCAGUUACCUAAUACGUAUCUGUUUUGACGUUACCGACAGAAUAAGCACCGGCUAACUCUGUGCCAGCAGCCGCGGUAAUACAGAGGGUGCAAGCGUUAAUC